Molecule: ribosomal RNA, 229 nt
Filed under: uncultured bacterium
Lineage: Bacteria
Description: partial 16S ribosomal RNA
Rfam family: Bacterial small subunit ribosomal RNA
Source: RNAcentral
UACGUAGGCGGAAUAUUAAGUCAGUGGUGAAAUCCUGCGGCUCAACCGUAGAACUGCCAUUGAUACUGAUAUUCUUGAAUGUAGUUGAGGUAGGCGGAAUGUGUAAUGUAGCGGUGAAAUGCUUAGAUAUUACACAGAACACCGAUUGCGAAGGCAGCUUACUAAACUAUGAUUGACGCUGAUGUGCGAAAGCGUGGGGAGCGAACAGGAUUAGAUACCCUGGUAGUCC